UAUGGGGUAGGAUUCAAUGCGUUAAGUGUCGGAGGAACGGAAUGUGAACUUCGAACGAAAAAUGAUCGGCUUCGACUUGUCGACCAUUUGCGGUGUUGUUUCCGCAUUCGCUAUG
This is a regulatory RNA element of 115 nucleotides. It matches the Rfam family "THF (Tetrahydrofolate) riboswitch aptamer". From Rfam's summary of the family: THF riboswitch presents a pseudoknot that joins P1-P2 and the loop of P3 and two THF binding. The record is from Rfam.